RNAcentral lists this long non-coding RNA (1105 nucleotides) under Pogona vitticeps (central bearded dragon). RNAcentral describes it as "lncRNA (ENSPVIG00000007700.1)". The record is from RNAcentral. Lineage: Eukaryota; Metazoa; Chordata; Lepidosauria; Squamata; Agamidae.
UCCAAUCCCAGCUUUUUGAUGAGUGCCUCUGGGUGAUAAUACCCAUUUUUAAAUACCUAUUUCUCACAUUCACACCUUAAAUAUUUAGAAAUACUUGUAAUUGGAUUCGUACAUUUAUGUAAAGAUCUGCAUAUUAGAAUUCUGAGGGUUUAAAAAGUUAUAGACUUAUUGCCUUUUGAGAUAUCCUCUUUGCUAUGCUCAGAGGGAUUUUUUUUAAAAAAAUCCCUCCUUGGUCAUAUUGAUUAACUUGAUUAACAAGGAUCUACUUAAAUCACAGUAUGUAAAACGAUUUUUCUUCUUCUUCAGUACUUGCACUACAAUCCACCAGAGCACUGCAAACCACCACAUCCCAAAGGGCACAGCAUGCUACUCACCCUUUCCUGAAGCAGGUAAGGAGAGAACAAGAGAAGAGGUAAGAUAUAAGAGGCAGGUAAAGCUCCUGGCUAAUAGUAGGCUGGAUCUGAUGCACCUAAAAGCUCAUUGAGGAGCAGGGACAGUUCUGCAAUCAGGCUGUCACCUUAACUGAUAGAUGCUGAGGAGUAGAAGCAAGGUGUUUGAAGUGAGGACUGUGUGCUGUGCAGCUGGUCUUGUGUGCCUUAAGCUAACCUGCUUCCUUCCGGUGCAGUGGAGGAUGCUGUCUCAUUGCCUCUGUUCAAGCGGUAUAUCACUUUGGCUUUUAUGAAUGCAAGGAGAAAGGGACACUACCUUGUUCUUUGUCUCAGACAGCAAAAUGUCUCAGCCUGGCCUUGCUCAAUGCAAGCUGCCACUAAUGUCUGGACUGCUGGAUGAGUUUUGCAACCGUGCUACCUGCACCACCAUUCUACUUCCACCAGUGAGUGGACAUGUAUGCUGCACAGUGGCUGGAAUGUCUGUCAAGAUUUCAGGUGAGAAUCAGUUCUCUGCUCUGCUACACACUACCUAUAGGACACCAAGGAAUCAGCUUGGAGACAUCAAAUCCAUAAGAGAAGUACUGACACAUGAAGAAAGAAGCUUAAUGCCUUGUCUCAACGAGCAGAUUCUAAGAUUCAUAGGCAAGAAACAGUUUCACUGGGAGGUUUCAUUACUGAAACCUGGACAUGUCAGCUAUGACAUAAAAAUUCCAUAG